CCUACGGGUGGCUUCAGUGGGGAAUAUUGGACAAUGGGCGAAAGCCUGAUCCAGCCAUGCCGCGUGUGUGAAGAAGGCCUUCGGGUUGUAAAGCACUUUCAGUGGGGAAGAAAGCCUUGGGGCUAAUACCCUCGAGGAAGGACAUCACCCACAGAAGAAGCACCGGCUAACUCCGUGCCAGCAGCCGCGGUAAUACGGAGGGUGCGAGCGUUAAUCGGAAUUACUGGGCGUAAAGCGCGCGUAGGCGGUCUGAUAAGCCGGUUGUGAAAGCCCCGGGCUCAACCUGGGAACGGCAUCCGGAACUGUCAGGCUAGAGUGCAGGAGAGGAUGGUAGAAUUCCCGGUGUAGCGGUGAAAUGCGUAGAGAUCGGGAGGAAUACCAGUGGCGAAGGCGGCCUUCUGGACUGACACUGACGCUGAGGUGCGAAAGCAUGGGUAGCAAACAGGAUUAGAUACCCCAGUAGUC
RNAcentral lists this ribosomal RNA (465 nucleotides) under Vreelandella stevensii. RNAcentral's name for it is "partial 16S ribosomal RNA". It matches the Rfam family "Bacterial small subunit ribosomal RNA", at positions 338 to 795 of the family's 1533-position model. The record is from RNAcentral. Lineage: Bacteria; Pseudomonadati; Pseudomonadota; Gammaproteobacteria; Oceanospirillales; Halomonadaceae.